AUUUCCAGGCAGAUAAACCCCCAAGCUUGUGCCCCUGGUUAAAAGGCUUCCAGGAGGGGUUACACAUUCCAGGCACGUCCUGGCUCAAGCUGAGUUAGUCAUGCGUCUCACCAAGCGUGUCAGAUCUGAGACGAUCUGUCUCCCUUGCUGCUGCUCUCCAAAUCCAUGCACUGUAAAAGACAGUAAUCAACAAAAGGGCAGUUGGAGUUGUGGAGCCUGGUUACAUGAUCUUGUCACUUCUUUCAUCCUGAUCUUCAGAGACAGUGUUUUGUGUGCAGAAGUAUUAUUUUCAGGGGCCUGGGAAAGUGGCUGGGACUGUACUGUUCAGCUGUAGGGCACUGGCUCGAAUAAAAUAGUGGCAGCCAGCGAUUGAGAUAUUUUUCAUUUUCCUUUCUUUAGGAGAAAACCCAUGAAAAGUUGAUGCCAUGAUCCUCAUGAUCAUAUUCUGUGUCUGGAAGCUACUGCUAAAGCUGCUAGUCAUUACAUGUAGGAUUGCACUAUCAUGUCUUCAAAUAUAUUCAAAAACCUGUUCAUGUGCCUUCCCUUACAUGCUUGCCACCUGAGGGCAUAAUCUAGUGACAAUAUAAUCACUUCCAUAGCAACCAGCAUGCCAUAAACAGGAUUAUGACACCUAGGCAGGAUGGAGGCACAAAGAAUUCAGAGAACUCCCCCCUCAUUAUCAUGGAGCAGAGCAGGGUAAAUAGUGAAAAUAGUGACCUGAGUGUGGCACCCAGGGGCUGUGUCACCAGAGAACAGGGGAGGAGGAAGGACAGGGGUUCACGUGUGUGGUGUGUCCUUAAACUGAUGUGACAAAACCUUGAGAAGGUGAAUCUGUGUCGUUAGCAGGGCAAGUCCUGGACUUAAAAGGAAAGCUUUGUCUGCCUGAAGUGUCACCACUUCCUCUUCUGCAUCUCUCCAGUGCAGAAGGGUUUGGUGCUGUCCAAGCCUGCAGUGCACAGGCUGGAGCUGGUGCUAGAAGAGGUCACUCUUCUGGGAACUGUGGAGCAUUGCAAAAAUAUUUCCUCCCUUGUGCGGUGUUUGGAAAGAUGUUUUUUCUAAUAACCCAGAUAAACUGCAUGUUCUCAAGUCCUGUGUGGUUUGAGUGUUUUGUUGUUGCUGGUGGCUUUUUAUUUAGAUUAUUUUUGCAGCAUGCAGGUGCUUAGAUAUACUCAAAGAGCCCAGGAGAAAACUUAAGUGUUGUCACUUUCCUUACAAGUUACAUGAGAGUUUUGAAGUUGUUUUUAAAACCCCCAAACAAUCUAACCCAAACAUCUUUAUGUUGUAGAAAUCCAUGCAAACAAAUUGACUUUAGGUUUGUCUGUGUGUACAGUGAAACCCCAGGAAUCCCAUAGUUGUAUGGAGCCCAAACUUUGCUGCAAGAUUUGUGCUUGUGAUCUGAAUCUGUGGAAAAUGUGUCUGUUUCUCUACAGAUUUACAGAUCUCUUUUUUAAACAUUAUGAGGAGGGAGAUUCUGACCAGUCUCUGUAACUGUGUACUCAAAGUCUCCUUUACUUUUUAAUGACAUUAAAUUUUUCGGUCCUGAUUUCCCAUGGAAUGGCACUGCUGUAUCAGUGCUGCAGUGCCAAGACCUGUGUGUGUUGGUGAAACUGCAUCCAGCACCCAUUUGGAAUAAAUACAUUUUUAUUGCUUGUUGAACAAGAUACAGAGAUGGAUAGUACUGUAAUCUAACAUACUCAGCACGAUUUAAAAUUAGAUUUGGCUGUGAACCUGGAUGUUUGUCUAUGAUAGGCACCUACAGACAGGACCUCAGCAGAGAAACAGUGCAAAAUUGUGGUUUCUACACUGAGCCUUUUUUUUGUGUAAAUGGCACCUAAAUCUGAGGUCCUGCAUGGGGAAUUCUAACACUGAUGUGACCCUCCCAUCCCUAAUAAAAUUUGUAGCUUUAGACAUUUUAAUCACACCUGUGUGAAGUGGAAAUUUGUGGUUCCUGAGGUCAUGGUCCAGGAGGGUGGCUGGAAUAUUUUGCACCCUGGAGCUGCUCAGUGAUUAAAUCAAGGGACUGACCAGGCUGGAAACAGGUUUUCACAGCAGCUCAGAGGUAGGUCUGGUUCCAGUUAUAGUGUAACCAGGCCUGGUAUGCACAGGAGCAGCCCUGCUCUAGGCCAGGGUGUUUGAGCAGCUGCCCAGUGAACCAGACUGAACAUCUGAUCCAGGCAUGAAACACUGGAUAUUCAUGGCUGAUGAAUUGUUAUAACCCUGGCUUGGCAUAAACCUGGCAUGGAAACAAAGUCCCUGUGCCUUCCUGGUGCUCCAGCACUAAGAGUUGGGUGGAAAAGUGUAGGACAUGGCAGACUUUGUUGAAUCUCCCUUUUGGAAUAUCUUGGAGUGCUCAAGCAAGAAGCAGAAAUCAGGGACCAAAUAAAAGGUUGCUGGCUUAAUUCUGUCUUCAUGUGACUCUAUAGGCUUUCCUAAAUUAUAGCUUUUUUUUUUAAUCAUCAUGGAAAAAACACGCUUCUGGUUUUGGCUAAUAGAUGAGCUGUUUCCUGUCCUUUAUGGCUUCUUUCUGGUUUGGAGUUUGAAACAAUGCUGUGAGCAAAUGGAACAACCCACUGGACUGCUGGUGAAAGGGUCUGUAAUAGCAUUUUAUUUCUGGUUCAUUUGUGACCUGCAGAAUUGCAGCUGAGCAGGGAAUAUUCCUCUUAAAGUGCUAACAUCUACCCAUCCUUUUCAGAGCUGAUUCCUUCUGUGCUUCCCUCUGCCCUUAAGGCCCCACUCUCCAUCACUUUAACAGUCUUGAGCAGUUCUUGUUGCCACACGAUCAAUCUUCCCCUUCCACAGCAGCAGGUUAUCUGUGAUGUGAUGCUCUGCUUGGUGGUGUAUGUGCAUCUGCUCCUCACCAAUGUGCCUGAAAGCUCUGGAUGUGGCCAGUGAAAUGGGAUGUGGCAGGGUCUGAGUGGGGGUGACAUCUCACUCCGCAGCUGGAGGAGCAGUGGCACAGAUGACUCCACCAGAGCCUGGGGCUCAGCUGGGCUCUGUCACGUAGCUCCAGUCCCCACCUUCCCUGCAAGCUCCCCUCUUGCAAGCCCAUCUGCAUUUUGAAGUCCUCUUCAGAGUUGUACCUCUUUAGAGGAGUGAUGAGAAAGCGAAAUACAGGGCUGUGCAAUUCAGUUCAGGCCCAUCCAUUUGUCAGGGAAAUGGUUUUCCAGGGCUGCAUUCUUAUAGGAAGUGUCAGGCCUGAUAAAUAGGCUCGAGCUUGCUUACUUCCUCAUUUUCCCUAGAGCUUAGUUUCUAGAAAGAGAUAGUGUUAUGUAAAAUACAGGAGAUAGUCACCAGGGACCAACCUGGAUUGGAGACAAGGCAGAAAUAUUUUAAUUUUGAAGCUGGCUGGAUAAACAGUUAAAUGAACAAACACUUUCUUUUAUUUUAUAGAGAUUUUACUGUAAAAAAAAACAGAAAGGAAGGGAAGCAAGAUGGACACAUUGAAGUAUCUGGGAGGGAACAUCCUUUCAGAUGUUUGGUGCAUUGGAGAUAAAGGCAACCUCCCUUUAAUCAGUGGCCUUUUUUCCUAGUGCUUUUUUAAUGCAGUGCAGCCAGUGAGUCUGGGUUUCUGAGUUUCUUAUUUCUGGGCACUGGCUGAAAUAGCUCUUCCUGCUGGAAUCAAAAUCGGAAAUGACCUGAGCUGCACAUGCUGAACAAGAGGAAGAAGGGGAGUGGCUUGCUAGCUGGAAACUUGGUAGUUCUGUUUAUCUGUUCAGUAGCUGAGAAAUAAUUACUUUUCAAGUGUUCAGAAGUUGGCUAGUGGGGCCAUUCAUUGUUUUGUUAUCCACAAACGUAUGAUGACGGGGAAAAAAGGCUGUUCUCCUCUUAAGAUUUUAGUUAUAAUAAAGUUUGUGACUAAUAUUGUUAUGAAAGCAUUUUUUUCAUCAACGCCACUUUCAUAGAGAGAGUUGUCUUGAAUCUGCAUCAGAUCUGUUAGUCUGAAUAAGGAUUCUUACAUGCUUGGUGAACAGAAGGAAAGCAGUCAGGUAACAGCCACAUGUGGGAUGUGGCUGGACAUGCUUUAACCCUGGUCACUGCUUUGCAGUGUCACACUGUCAUGUAAGGUAUUUAAGUGUUAUCCAGUGAUUCCCAGGCCCCAUAGAUGGAAUUUAAAGUUAACUUUAGAACUAAGAACCACUUGAAUCCUUUUUCCUUACUAUAUCAGCAUGUAUUCAAAAGAGUUAAGAGUUUUAUUUCCAAGUUAUGUUCAUGUUUCAUGAAUCUUUUCAUCUGGAUCGAUUAAUUAUAAAAAGGCUUCUUCUCUCAUUUAAUUUUUGUGGGAGUAAAUUUUUCCUAGUGCCCGUUUGCUUGGGAGUAGCCAAAGGAUUUGAAUCUUGGCUAUGGCUUAAAUUUUGUUUUUUCAGUUGAGGGGAAAAGGAAAAGGGUGUCUCCAGAGGGCAGAACAAAGUGACCAGCAUGUCUUAAGUGUGAAUGAUGAGGUCUUCCUUAAUGCUUUGCCCUGGCAGUCUGGGUGCUUUUAUAUCUGCUUUGGAAUGGUGAGUAUCUCCAGACUAGCAGUUGUUCUCAAGGAUGGUGAUGUUUUCCAGAGGGACAAACUUCAGUUGAAGAACAAUUAUAAUAAAGAAGGUUUGUGAAUAGCUGUUCUUUCCUGACCUGAGAGAGCCACUUUUGUGCCUGGAGAAAUCACUGAGGGUUUGAGCAAAAAAGACCGAAGACUAAACCCAACUUGUCUAGAGAUCUAAUGUUCCACUAGAGUGAGUAUUAAAAAUAGUUUGGGGAGCUAAAAUGAUCUUUGGUGCCUACAGCAAUGAACUACAUGAAAUAAUCCUGCUCAAGUCCUGGGACUUCAGAGGCUUACUUUGAGCUGACCUCCUGUUAAAGGACUUGAAACGACAGCCCUUGCAAUUCAGCUUGUCCAACUUGAUUAGAUUUUAUCUGGAGCUUGAUUGAAUUUGUGAACAAGAUUAUGAAAAGCAACAUGACUGCCAAUGAGGUGAACAGUCUUUGAGGGGAAAUUCUCUGGUAUCCCAGAGGGUAGUGCUUUUAAGUUCAGUUAUGAAUAUUAGAAUUCCUUGAUUAAGUUAGUUGCAAAUUUUAAUAAGGCGUUCUUGCCGCUGUGGAUCAUUUUAACACAAAGCUUAACACAAAGCUUGUGUGGUGUUUGCUUCCUGGAAGGGGAAGGGUCUUCUCCCCAUCUUAGCUGUUCUCAAACUGGUCUUGGAGACCCUGGGAUCUUAUUAUUUUAGGGAAAAGCUUUGAUCAUCAAGCACAGCAGCAGAAAUAGCCUUGAUUGUUAGUGUGGAGCUAUGUCUGCUGUGCUUCGCUGCUCUGGCAGGUCAGAUGGGAGAUGAUGACCUCUGGGUAGUUCACCUAAACAACACAUCUUGGUAUUUAUGUUGUGGAUAUCAAAGUCAGUCUCACUGGAGAACACGGGGAUUUAGAGCCUUUUUUUUUUUUUUUGUAAAAGGAGAAGAAAAUAGAGGGAAACCUGGCUAUCUUCCCUCUGUGGAUGGGGGAAAUGACAGGUUUUGGAAGCUGCUCUUCUAUUACUGUUUCCUUUUCCUGGCUGUGGUUGUAAGUGUGGCAUUGUCUCCAGCUCAGAGGCCACACCAGUGAUGUGAUGAGUGAUUGCUUGAGCCCAGGGAGAGCCACACUACCCAUCACAGUCUCAAUUGUCACAACUUUUCAUGGUGGCGUUCUUGUUUUAAUUCUGUAGCUAAAUGUUCAGCUGUGGUGUUG
Non-coding RNA from Taeniopygia guttata (zebra finch), 5700 nucleotides. Lineage: Eukaryota; Metazoa; Chordata; Aves; Passeriformes; Estrildidae. The record is from RefSeq and is a predicted model, not a curated record.